Ruditapes philippinarum (Manila clam) is the source of this 849-nucleotide long non-coding RNA. RefSeq lists it as uncharacterized. The record is from RefSeq and is a predicted model, not a curated record. The transcript has 3 exons. Lineage: Eukaryota; Metazoa; Mollusca; Bivalvia; Venerida; Veneridae.
UGACCUCUAUUGAUUUAGGGGUCAUUAGGUCAAAGGUCAAUGUCACAUUGGCCUUAAAUGUCAAAAUGGUUUUCGUUGAUUUUUCCAUAAUUGAACACUUCCAUGUAGCCAUUUUCGGCAAGUUUUUGUAAUAAAAUUACCAAUUAUGUGAGUCAAUGGCUAGAAAGGCGGUAUAUGUGUCGUUCGACAUUCUUGUUUUCAUUAAUUUUUGGUACUUAAAUAUGAUUUUAUUGAAUAUAAAAGUCAGUAAAUCCCCUUUUUCAAUAUCUUUAAAAAAAGUAAUUUAUAAAAAUAUUGGAAGCACAUGGGUUCGUAAAGGUCAAUCUCGUAAUCACGUGGUUAAACAUUUUGGCAAUAUGGCGGCCAAGUGCUUACCUGUCGGAAACUAUAAGGUAGUUUAUGUUCGUAAUAAGAUUUUUAUUUGUCCAUCCUUGGCUUAUCAACAGAUUAUAUAUAGUUUUAUCAAGGUAUGCUUCACUUUACUUCAUGGCAUGUUCGAUGGAUGAAUACGAGCGUGUCAGAUUCCUGGCACGAUUAUUGGUGGACUUUCCCUACGGGGUUGUCUUCAGCGUUCACGUCAUGUCAAACUAUAUAAACGGGACCCUCGAAGACCUUAAGCUAACACUGUCAUAGUUGUGAGUAGUGGUUAAAGGAAGAACUUAACAUACCGAAACUCGCACCUUGUACUUCUGAAUAUGCAACUGUGAAGAAAGUCCACUGUUGAAAAGACAUCACUAGAGGAACAAGAACUUCAAAUUUCUGCGUUGAAACAGUGCAAGAAAUGAAGCUGGUAGUGACCAAAUUUAUGAAGAUAUGCCAGGGUUGGAUCAUAAUGAUAUUCAUGAACCA